UACGUAGGGUGCGAGCGUUAAUCGGAAUUACUGGGCGUAAAGGGUGCGUAGGCGGUUUGAUAAGCUAUCUGUGAAAGUCCUGGGCUUAACCUAGGGAUUGCGGAUAGGACUGUUGGGCUAGAGUGUGGCAGAGGGAGGUGGAAUUCCACGUGUAGCAGUGAAAUGCGUAGAGAUGUGGAGGAACACCGAUGGCGAAGGCAGCCUCCUGGGCUAACACUGACGCUGAGGCACGAAA
Molecule: ribosomal RNA, 235 nt
Filed under: uncultured prokaryote
Description: partial 16S ribosomal RNA
Rfam family: Bacterial small subunit ribosomal RNA
Source: RNAcentral